Molecule: ribosomal RNA, 301 nt
Filed under: uncultured bacterium
Lineage: Bacteria
Description: partial 16S ribosomal RNA
Rfam family: Bacterial small subunit ribosomal RNA
Source: RNAcentral
CAGUCGCCGCGGGAAUACGUAGGGUGCGAGCGUUAAUCGGAAUUACUGGGCGUAAAGCGUGCGCAGGCGGUUAUAUAAGACAGAUGUGAAAUCCCCGGGCUCAACCUGGGGCCUGCAUUUGUGACUGUAUAGCUAGAGUACGGUAGAGGGGGAUGGAAUUCCGCGUGUAGCAGUGAAAUGCGUAGAUAUGCGGAGGAACACCGAUGGCGAAGGCAAUCCCCUGGACCUGUACUGACGCUCAUGCACGAAAGCGUGGGGAGCAAACAGGAUUAGAUACCCGUGUAGUCCCUGUCUCUUAUAC